GGCAAAAGCUCAAAUUUGAAAUCUGGCACUUUCAGUGUCCGAGUUGUAAUUUGAAGAAGGUAUCUUUGGGUCUGGCUCUUGUCUAUGUUUCUUGGAACAGAACGUCACAGAGGGUGAGAAUCCCGUGCGAUGAGAUGUCCCAGACCUAUGUAAAGUUCCUUCGAAGAGUCGAGUUGUUUGGGAAUGCAGCUCUAAGUGGGUGGUAAAUUCCAUCUAAAGCUAAAUAUUGGCGAGAGACCGAUAGCGAACAAGUACAGUGAUGGAAAGAUGAAAAGAACUUUGAAAAGAGAGUGAAAAAGUACGUGAAAUUGUUGAAAGGGAAGGGCUUGAGAUCAGACUUGGUAUUUUGUAUGUUACUCUCUCGGGGGUGGCCUCUACAGUUUACCGGGCCAGCAUCAGUUUGAGCGGUAGGAUAAGUGCAAAGAAAUGUGGCACUGCUUCGGUAGUGUGUUAUAGUCUUUGUCGAUACUGCCAGCUUAGACUGAGGACUGCGGCUUCGGCCUAGGAUGUUGGCAUAAUGAUCUUAAGUCGCCCGUCUUGAAACACGGACCAAGGAGUCUAACGUCUAUGCGAGUGUUUGGGUGUAAAACCCGUACGCGUAAUGAAAGUGAACGUAGGUAGGACCUCCUUUAGGAGUGCACUAUCGACCGAUCCUGAUGUCUUCGGAUGGAUUUGAGUAAGAGCAUAGCUGUUGGACCCGAAAG
RNAcentral lists this ribosomal RNA (704 nucleotides) under Lodderomyces parapsilosis. RNAcentral's name for it is "eukaryotic LSU rRNA". It matches the Rfam family "Eukaryotic large subunit ribosomal RNA", at positions 100 to 822 of the family's 3401-position model. The record is from RNAcentral. Lineage: Eukaryota; Fungi; Ascomycota; Pichiomycetes; Serinales; Debaryomycetaceae.